This 400-nucleotide ribosomal RNA is filed under the name uncultured bacterium. Its description in RNAcentral is "bacterial SSU rRNA". It matches the Rfam family "Bacterial small subunit ribosomal RNA", at positions 356 to 773 of the family's 1533-position model. The record is from RNAcentral.
GGGGAAUCUUAGACAAUGGGGGAAACCCUGAUCUAGCCAUGCCGCGUGAUCGAUGAAGGCCUUAGGGUUGUAAAGAUCUUUCAGCUGGGAAGAUAAUGACGGUACCAGCAGAAGAAGCCCCGGCUAACUCCGUGCCAGCAGCCGCGGUAAUACGGAGGGGGCUAGCGUUAUUCGGAUUUACUGGGCGUAAAGCGCACGUAGGCGGAUCAGAAAGUUAGGGGUGAAAUCCCGGGGCUCAACCUCGGAACUGCCUCUAAAACUCCUGGUCUUGAGGUCGAGAGAGGUGAGUGGAAUUCCGAGUGUAGAGGUGAAAUUCGUAGAUAUUCGGAGGAACACCAGUGGCGAAGGCGGCUCACUGGCUCGAUACUGACGCUGAGGUGCGAAAGCGUGGGGAGCAAAC